RNAcentral lists this ribosomal RNA (468 nucleotides) under uncultured bacterium. RNAcentral's name for it is "partial 16S ribosomal RNA". It matches the Rfam family "Bacterial small subunit ribosomal RNA", at positions 28 to 507 of the family's 1533-position model. The record is from RNAcentral.
GACGAACGCUGGCGGCGUGCUUAACACAUGCAAGUCGAACGGAAAGGCCCUGCUUUUGUGGGGUGCUCGAGUGGCGAACGGGUGAGUAGCACGUGAGUAACCUGCCCUUGACUUUGGGAUAACUUCAGGAAACUGGGGCUAAUACCGGAUAGGAGCUCCUGCUGCAUGGUGGGGGUUGGAAAGUUUCGGCGGUUGGGGAUGGACUCGCGGCUUAUCAGCUUGUUGGUGGGGUAGUGGCUUACCAAGGCUUUGACGGGUAGCCGGCCUGAGAGGGUGACCGGCCACAUUGGGACUGAGAUACGGCCCAGACUCCUACGGGAGGCAGCAGUGGGGAAUAUUGCACAAUGGGCGGAAGCCUGGUGCAGCAACGCCGCGUGCGGGAUGACGGCCUUCGGGUUGUAAACCGCUUUCGCCUGUGACGAAGCGUGAGUGACGGUAAUGGGUAAAGAAGCACCGGCUAACUACGUG